RNAcentral lists this transfer-messenger RNA (622 nucleotides) under Clostridia bacterium. It matches the Rfam family "transfer-messenger RNA". Rfam says of the family: Bacterial tmRNA, also known as 10Sa RNA or SsrA, is named for its dual tRNA and mRNA-like properties. Its role is to liberate the mRNA from a stalled ribosome. The record is from RNAcentral. Lineage: Bacteria; Bacillati; Bacillota; Clostridia.
GGGGGUGCAAUGGCUUCGACGGGGAUAUAUAAACAAAAUAAGCGAGUAGUGGCGGGAGUCCACUUAAAAAGCCCAAUUUUAAAUUUAAACGCUAACGAUAAUUUAGCUUACGCUGCCUAAUUAACGGCAGCCGUCCUUACUUCGAGAACUGCAUAGAAGAUUAAGGGCGUCAUUUUGCAGUGAACACGAGUGGGUAAUGCCCUGAUUCCCACCGGGUAUUAUUGGGCUACCAAACACAGAGGAUUGCGUGUGAAACUCUGUGUGAGGGAAAUAACCGAGAGGUUUCGAACACAAUAAGCCUUAAACUUUACAAAUUUGCACCAUUUCAACUUGUCGUCCUCGAAAGGCGUGGUGCCUACCUUCGUCCUCCGCAUUGAAAUUGCACUAAAUUUCUUGCGUUUAAGGUCGAAGAGUUUCAAAACAACAAAUUUUGAUGGAAGACAAGAAAAAUUCUUUGGAUAAUACGGGUGUAUAUUCACAGAAUUUUACGAAGUAUUACGCAAAAUUUGUGUUUUAAAACCUUAUUGGGUUCGAAUCCUCUCGGUUACAAUCACACGAUACACUCGUAGAAAGUUUUGCGGAGUAUUUUCGGACUGGGGUUCGACUCCCCACACUUCCACCA